AUUGAACGCUGGCGGCAGGCCUAACACAUGCAAGUCGAGCGGAUGAAGGGAGCUUGCUCCUGGAUUCAGCGGCGGACGGGUGAGUAAUGCCUAGGAAUCUGCCUGGUAGUGGGGGAUAACGUCCGGAAACGGGCGCUAAUACCGCAUACGUUCUGAGGGAGAAAGUGGGGGAUCUUCGGACCUCACGCUAUCAGAUGAGCCUAGGUCGGAUUAGCUAGUUGGUGGGUUAAAGGCCUACCAAGGCGACGAUCCGUAACUGGUCUGAGAGGAUGAUCAGUCACACUGGAACUGGGACACGGUCCAGACUCCUACGGGAGGCAGCAGUGGGGAAUAUUGGACAAUGAGCGAAAGCCUGAUCCAGCCAUGCCGCGUGUGUGAAGAAGGUCUUCGGAUUGUAAAGCACGUUAAGUUGGGAGGAAGGGCAGUAAGUUAAUACCUUGCUGUUUUGACGUUACCAACAGAAUAAGCACCGGCUAACUUCGUG
This 484-nucleotide ribosomal RNA is filed under the name uncultured bacterium. RNAcentral describes it as "partial 16S ribosomal RNA". It matches the Rfam family "Bacterial small subunit ribosomal RNA", at positions 30 to 507 of the family's 1533-position model. The record is from RNAcentral.